GGGGGCAUUGCUCAGUGGUAGAGCAUGUGCCUGACAUGCACGAGAUUCUGGGUUCAAUCCCUAGUGCCUCUG
This is a transfer RNA of Camelus ferus (Wild Bactrian camel), 72 nucleotides long. It matches the Rfam family "tRNA". Rfam says of the family: Transfer RNA (tRNA) molecules are approximately 80 nucleotides in length. Their secondary structure includes four short double-helical elements and three loops (D, anti-codon, and T loops). NCBI's taxonomy places the organism in Eukaryota, Metazoa, Chordata, Mammalia, Artiodactyla, Camelidae. The record is from Rfam.